RNAcentral lists this ribosomal RNA (549 nucleotides) under Callipogon sericeus. Its description in RNAcentral is "partial 16S ribosomal RNA". Lineage: Eukaryota; Metazoa; Arthropoda; Insecta; Coleoptera; Cerambycidae. The record is from RNAcentral.
UUAAAAAUUCUUAUAUAUUUAAUUUUCCCGAACUUAGAAGAGCGAUCUGGUUAUAAAUUUUAUUGUUGAAUAAAUAUUUAAAAUAUCUAGGUAGUAAUGAAAUGUUAUUCGUUUCUAAAUAUAUCUGGUUUUCUCAGAAAUAAAUUUAAUUUAGCUUGUUUAUUCAAAUUGGUUUAAUAAGUAAUCAAUUUGGUAGGUGUAGUAAUAUGUUAAGGGAUGAGCUUUGACAUGUAAUUUUAUAAAGUUGGUUAUAUUAGUUAAGAUAAAUAGGAUUAGAAUUUUCCAUUUUUAUGAGGAUGUUAUAAUUGAUUUUGUUUUAUAUUUUAUUUAUAUUGGUUUUAAGUUUUAUAUGAGACUAUAGCUUCAAAUUUUGAUUGGUUAGUGAAAAUGAUUAAAUUAGUAUAGUUAAUUGUAUAUUUAAGGGGUAUUUUAAGGUUAAUAAAAGGAAUUCGGCAAAUAAUUUUUUACCUGUUUAUUAAAAACAUGGCCUUUUGAUUAUGAUUUCAGGUCUAGCCUGCCCGCUGAGGCGUUGAAUGGCCGCGGUACUCU